GUGGGGAAUCUUGCGCAAUGGGCGAAAGCCUGACGCAGCCAUGCCGCGUGAAUGAUGAAGGUCUUAGGAUUGUAAAAUUCUUUCACCGGGGACGAUAAUGACGGUACCCGGAGAAGAAGCCCCGGCUAACUUCGUGCCAGCAGCCGCGGUAAUACGAAGGGGGCUAGCGUUGCUCGGAAUUACUGGGCGUAAAGGGCGCGUAGGCGGACAGUUUAGUCAGAGGUGAAAGCCCAGGGCUCAACCUGGGAAUUGCCUUUGAUACUGGCUGUCUUGAGUACGGGAGAGGUGAGUGGAACUCCGAGUGUAGAGGUGAAAUUCGUAGAUAUUCGGAAGAACACCAGUGGCGAAGGCGACUCACUGGCCCGUUACUGACGCUGAGGCGCGAAAGCGUGGGGAGCAAACAGGAUUAGAUACCCUAGUAGACC
RNAcentral lists this ribosomal RNA (425 nucleotides) under uncultured bacterium. Its description in RNAcentral is "partial 16S ribosomal RNA". It matches the Rfam family "Bacterial small subunit ribosomal RNA", at positions 354 to 796 of the family's 1533-position model. The record is from RNAcentral.